GUUAUACAUGUUUUUUAGAUAAGAUGUUGUGGAUGUUAUGUUACAUUCCAGAAAAACAUUCAUAACAUAACAUCUAAGAAACAUUCAUAACAUCGACAACAUCGUAUCCAAAAAUUGAUUGAUAGAAUAACAUCCACAAAAUUCUAUCCUUCACACAAAAUCAAAACAAUCCAUGUUUCGCUCCCGCUUUCUUAACCCAUAACUCACGAGUGUGUGGCUGAAGUCCUAACCACAUUUUCCUAAUAUCAACACUUUCACCAAAAAGCAAAAGCGCCAUUUGAUAUUUAGCAUCAAUUUCUCUUCAUCCCAAUAUCCUCAACUUCUCCAUGCAUGCAUUCGUAUCAUUAGAAAGAUUGUAUUUCUCAAUCAACAUCUUUGCCACCUUGGUGCUUUGUGUUGCUCACAAUCCAUGCUGCCUGAAAACCAAAAAUGUUAAAUACUAAAGGGGUAUGGUCCAUAACACCCCGCGAGCCCGACCAUACCCACACUUAAUCCAGAAACACUCAGCUAGUCGCAACGUUCCAAUGCAGACUACUCCCGCGGGCGCGAUGCUAUGCCAGCACAGAGGAAACACAUAGCACGGGGUGAAGGGACCUGCGACCAAUCAGCGUCCGCAAGCUACUGUACCGGAAGAUCCCCACGAUGUGCAAUCGUGCAAAAAACAAGAAGUACAGACGACAAUGAUGUCUGGACAAUCAACGUGCGCCACAACAGAAUCUCUCAUCCACCUCCACCAACGACGGACGACGACGAGACAAGGACAUUCCGAAAUCAACAUGUAGCCAAUUACGGUGCAAGACCGUACUUGUACCUCUACGGGCACUAACUAUCACGACAGAUGGGACCAAAGGGAUAUUCCUUGACGUUGACAUCUUGUCCAAUCAGCCUCUCUCCUUCUCCAACCAUUCGAAUAUAAAUACCACACUCCAAUAGUUUAAUGAUUCCGAUCUCAUUACUCUCGCUCUCACUGCAUACUCUCCAGAAAGAACUUUGCUUAUUCUCACGCUAAAAAACGGUUACGAGAAGAACCCCCCACAUGUCCUUAUCGUAACGAUUGUCACGGUGGUUCUAGUUUUCCGGAUUCAUCUCCAAUGGAUUUGAGCUCAUGAAGAUCAGAAGAGAAAGCCCCCCAGUCGAAACAUUCUUGGUUUAUCCCCCGAGGAUCAGACUAGUGUUUCCUUAAUACCAUGUUAAUAUGUAUGAUUGAAAGUCAUGUAUGUAAAAAUAAACUUGUGUACAUACUCAACUAAGGAAAUGCUAGUCUAUAAUAAUGCCUCGUAA
Helianthus annuus (common sunflower) is the source of this 1281-nucleotide long non-coding RNA. RefSeq lists it as uncharacterized. Lineage: Eukaryota; Viridiplantae; Streptophyta; Magnoliopsida; Asterales; Asteraceae. The transcript is spliced from 2 exons. The record is from RefSeq and is a predicted model, not a curated record.